GCCAACAGGUUAAAAAACUUCCUAUCCCAAUUUGAAGGAACCAAUGGCAUCAGUCAAGAUCGAGAAACCUGUUAAAGAGGCCACGAAACCUUCGGCUCCCAAAUCUUCUGCCGCCAAACCGUCCAAAGCAGCCCCUAAAAAGGCGACACAACCUCGUGAACCUAGGAAGAAGUCAUCAGGUCCAAAGAAUGCAGCCACCCCAAAGAAAUAAGGACAAGGCGGAGUAGCAGUGAAAGACGUAGUGUGCUUGCUUUUGCUUGUAAUCUCAUCGUUUCUGUCUUCUGAAUGAAAUAAAUACCUGUCUCCAAAUUGCUUACAAUCUUAUUGAGAAUUGAGUAAAUUACAAAU
Molecule: long non-coding RNA, 348 nt
Organism: Cynara cardunculus var. scolymus (artichoke)
Lineage: Eukaryota; Viridiplantae; Streptophyta; Magnoliopsida; Asterales; Asteraceae
Exons: 2
Source: RefSeq, a predicted model, not a curated record